Molecule: ribosomal RNA, 799 nt
Filed under: uncultured Bacteroidota bacterium
Lineage: Bacteria; Pseudomonadati; Bacteroidota
Description: bacterial SSU rRNA
Rfam family: Bacterial small subunit ribosomal RNA
Source: RNAcentral
GCCCCUUCGGGGGCCGAGUAGAGUGGCGUCCGGGUGAGUAACACGUAGGUAAUCUACCUCUGGGUGGGGAAUAACGACCGGAAACGGUCGCUAAUACCGCAUAAUGCAGCGGCACCACAUGGUGACAGUUGUUAAAGCGGGGGAUCGCAAGACCUCGCGCCUAGAGAGGAGCCUGCGGCGGAUUAGCUAGUUGGCAGGGUAACGGCCUACCAAGGCAACGAUCCGUAGCCGGCCUGAGAGGGCGGUCGGCCACACUGGCACUGACACACGGGCCAGACUCCUACGGGAGGCAGCAGUCGGGAAUUUUGGGCAAUGGGCGAAAGCCUGACCCAGCAACGCCGCGUGAAGGAUGAAGCUUUUCGGAGUGUAAACUUCAUAAGAAUGGGACGAAUAAGGAAGGGCUAAUACCCCUUUUGAUGACGGUACCAUUUGUAAGCUCCGGCUAACUCCGUGCCAGCAGCCGCGGUAAUACGGGGGGAGCAAGCGUUGUUCGGAUUUACUGGGCGUAAAGGGCGCGUAGGCGGCGCAACAAGUCACUUGUGAAAUCUCCGGGCUUAACCCGGAGCGGCCAAGUGAUACUGUCGUGCUAGAGUGCGGAAGGGGCUACUGGAAUUCUCGGUGUAGCGGUGAAAUGCGUAGAUAUCGAGAGGAACACCUGCGGCGAAGGCGGGUAGCUGGGCCGACACUGACGCUGAGGCGCGAAAGCCAGGGGAGCGAACGGGAUUAGAUACCCCGGUAGUCCUGGCCUUAAACGAUGGAUGCUUGGUGUCCGGGGUUACAUAGUCCCCGGGUGCCGGCG